This 253-nucleotide ribosomal RNA is filed under the name uncultured bacterium. Its description in RNAcentral is "partial 16S ribosomal RNA". It matches the Rfam family "Bacterial small subunit ribosomal RNA", at positions 524 to 776 of the family's 1533-position model. The record is from RNAcentral.
UACGUAGGGUGCGAGCGUUGUCCGGAAUUAUUGGGCGUAAAGAGCUCGUAGGCGGCUUGUCGCGUCGACCGUGAAAACUUGGGGCUCAACCCCAAGCCUGCGGUCGAUACGGGCAGGCUAGAGUUCGGUAGGGGAGACUGGAAUUCCUGGUGUAGCGGUGAAAUGCGCAGAUAUCAGGAGGAACACCGGUGGCGAAGGCGGGUCUCUGGGCCGAUACUGACGCUGAGGAGCGAAAGCGUGGGGAGCGAACAGG